Long non-coding RNA from Salarias fasciatus (jewelled blenny), 2471 nucleotides. RefSeq lists it as uncharacterized. The transcript has 4 exons. NCBI's taxonomy places the organism in Eukaryota, Metazoa, Chordata, Actinopteri, Blenniiformes, Blenniidae. The record is from RefSeq and is a predicted model, not a curated record.
UUUAAACGUCGCCGGACGGAACAACAGAUGGCGGUGGCGGGUUUGUUGGAUAAAACUACAAAGACUUUGGAUGUCCAGCGCAUCAUCGACAACUUUGCCUCCAGUCACAAAAACCGGAGGAUUGUACUUCUGUGAAAAUCAGCCUGGUCAGCGCUGCUCCACACAAUGCCGCCGUCAGGAGACACAGGAGGAGCUCCUUCUUCUUCUACUCUUUAUAAAGAUAUGGGAGCUGUGCCAAUAUCUGCUUCCUGGUGCAGGAGGGGGAGGGGCUUAAGUGUUUAAGCCCCUCUCUCAUUUUAAUGCCUCAUGAUAAGCACAUGAGGGCUGGGACGAUAUGUGAUAUGCUUCUUUCCUGAGCAUCUGGAGAUGUUUGUGUUGUAACUGGCACUUCAUGUUUACCCUGAGAUGGGCUGAAGCUUCUCUUCCUGCUGGGUGGUGUCAAGUGUCUGAUUCAUGCUGCACUCCAGGGCCUUCACUCUUCCUCCACCCGAUAGAGCCAUUAUGGAGUGAUUCAUGUGUUUCGGUCAAUCCGGGUGAGCACUAAGCUUCUCUGACAUGAACUAUGUUCACCAAAGCUCUGAAUAAGGCUGAAUUAACCACAUAUGUUCAGAAAGGACCAGAUUUCCUUUGUGUUUCCUUCAGGACCUUUUUGUCUCGCGCAGCUUUGUGAAACUCUCAAGUGUCAAGCCCAUUUUCUUUCUGUGUCCAUGAUGGAAACGUUUUUAUUUCCAAAAAACAAUUACAACUGAAUAUGACUCCAAUUUCAAAAUGAAGUCCAUUUUAAUGAUGUAAAAUCCAGUGAAAUGUCCCUGAAACUUCUCCUGUAGCUGUUGCAUUGUGGGUGCUUUUCCAAAGCCCCCUGACAGCACGGCUUUGAGGCUGGUUUGAAACCAGGUAGCGAGCUCUGAGAUCCCAGCUCGACUCUCAGUGAUUAGUUCUGUCUACUUUAAAGAAAUUCAAUUUAAAACAAACAAAAAAAUGUUUCCUUUAAAAUGUUCCCAAUUAGGUGGUUUGGUGGGCCGGUUUAGAGCCUCACGAGGGCCGAUUUUGGCCCACGAGCCUUAUGUUUGACUCGACUGGUGCCAUGUCUUGUAGACACUAAUCAAUAUUUGACUCAUGCUUUUGGACUGUAGCAGGAACUCAUGCACGCACAUGGAGAACAUGCAAACUGCAAUGACAGCGAACACAAGCUGAGCUGAAACCUUCUGUCCGUGAGGCGACAAUGCAAACCACUGCACCCCCGUGUCACAGCAUCACCGAGCGAACACAAACCCACAACGUGCCAUCAUUUACAAAUAAUCAGUCAGACCACCGAUCAGCACCAAUCCAGCUGGGAUGAGCGCCGGAGGAACCAGACAGGUUCGCUCUUCCUCCUCCUCUUCCUCCUCCUCUUCCUCAACAAGUCUCAGAAGGAGUCCAGGAGGUUCCGGCUGUUAUUUACAGCCCCAAACGGAGUGAGGGCCUCAGGGGUUGAUCCAUAUUUCACCGGGAUUUAAAAUGACUCCAGAGUCUGAGGGAACUCAGCUGGCGUCGGUUCAGAGCAAACAUUUAUCUGUCAACGCCGCUCAGCCGAUAAGCAACACACACUGAAUGGCUUUUCACUGAAACAGGAAAAUCAGAUCCCGUUUUCACCUGAAUAACGUGUGUGUGUGUGUGUGUGUGUGUGUGUGUGUGUGUGUUCUACAUGAGAUGACCUGCCUCUCACUCCACUGCUCUCCAGCGCGGAUUCAUCCGAUCAGAUCUGCAGCUUCUCUUCGGAGCAGAUCAGACUCGUCGGGGUGAACAUAUGAGGAGAGACUCGGACUGCUCUGAUCGACAUUCACACACACAUUCUGCAGAAGAGGAGCUCUUCACUUUCAGCUUGUCUCUCUACUCAAACAGAGUGACUCCAUUAAAAAUGAAGCCGCUGUUGCUUUUUGCUGAAAGCUGUUUAGAGGUUGAUUGUUUGAUGGUUCUCCAUGAUCGCUCACAUGUUAGAGCUGCAAGUCUUACUCCAGGAAAUCCAUGAACAGAUUACAAAAAAUACUUGAGGCAAUUUCUUUUUUUUGCGUUUUAGCAGUUUAAUCGUUUAAGGAUUGUGUUCUAGAUGGACUGUAAACAGUGACACACUGUUAAAAACGUUUGCACUAUGGCCGAGAGCGGAGAGGACAGGAGGGAGCGUCUGCUGAAGGCAAAACAUGCAGACCUGCCAACAUCGACAAAACACACCAGCAGCACUUGUGCCAUGUGGCUUUGUUCGCUUGUUUGUUUUUUUGUUUCUUUUUUUAAUAAUAAUUAAAAAACAAAUCAUUUUUAAAACAGUAGGAGUGUGUGUGAGUGUGUGCAGCGGGGGGAUUACUCUCCUGUGCUCACACAAGAUGGUUAAUCGAAGCUAAAACAUUUUUUUCUGAUCUAAACUGUAUAAUCUUUAACAAAAAAGAAAUUUGGUGGUUUAAAAAACUGACUCGCAUUUGUCACAGACUGUUACUUUA